Molecule: transfer RNA, 72 nt
Filed under: Malawimonas californiana (nom. ined.)
Lineage: Eukaryota; Malawimonada; Malawimonadea; Malawimonadida; Malawimonadidae
Description: Malawimonas californiana tRNA-Gln
Rfam family: tRNA
About the family: Transfer RNA (tRNA) molecules are approximately 80 nucleotides in length. Their secondary structure includes four short double-helical elements and three loops (D, anti-codon, and T loops).
Source: RNAcentral
UGGGAUAUAGCCAAGUGGUAAGGCGCGGGUUUUUGAUAUCUGUAUACAAAGGUUCGAAUCCUUUUAUCCCAG